AUUGAACGCUGGCGGCAUGCCUUACACAUGCAAGUCGAACGGCAGCACGGGUGCUUGCACCUGGUGGCGAGUGGCGAACGUGUGAGUAAUACAUCGGAACGUACCUUAUCGUGGGGGAUAACGCAGCGAAAGCUGUGCUAAUACCGCAUACGCCCUGAGGGGGAAAGCGGGGGAUCGAAAGACCUCGCGCGAUUAGAGCGGCCGAUGCCUGAUUAGCUUGUUGGUGGGGUAAAAGCCCACCAAGGCGACGAUCAGUAGCUGGUCUGAGAGGACGAUCAGCCACACUGGGACUGAGACACGGCCAAGACUCCUACGGGAGGCAGCAGUGGGGAAUUUUAGACAAUGGGGGCAACCCUGAUCCAGCAAUGCCGCGUGAGUGAAGAAGGCCUUCGGGUUGUAAAGCUCUUUUGUCAGGGAAGAAACACCGGCUCUAACACAGUCCGGGAAUGACGGUACCUGAAGAAUAAGCACCGGCUAACUACGUGCCAGCAGCCGCCGUAA
RNAcentral lists this ribosomal RNA (501 nucleotides) under uncultured bacterium. RNAcentral's name for it is "partial 16S ribosomal RNA". It matches the Rfam family "Bacterial small subunit ribosomal RNA", at positions 30 to 523 of the family's 1533-position model. The record is from RNAcentral.